This 241-nucleotide long non-coding RNA is filed under the name Citrus maxima (pomelo). RNAcentral describes it as "long non-coding RNA (CMAX_LNC003685)". Lineage: Eukaryota; Viridiplantae; Streptophyta; Magnoliopsida; Sapindales; Rutaceae. The record is from RNAcentral.
UUCAUUUCACAGAAGAAAAUAAGUACAACAAAUGGGGAGGGAAUGAACCCAUCCACACAAUAGUUUCAAGUCUCUCUAAAGCUAGUUUUGCUAGAGAGUGGGCUAAAACAUUACAAGAUCUAUGAGUAUAAUGAACACUUAUAGAGUCAAAGUUUUUCAACAUACUUUGCACCUCUGAAAUAAUCCAGUAUAUCUCAUAUCUGCAGCCUUGGUUGUUGUUUACCAGCUUAACAACUUCUUG